AUUGUUAAAUUUAUUACUUGCCGAUUAACUAUAUUUUCAGGAUGGUUGUACCUAGCGACAAGUAUUUCCCUGCCACUGUCUCAUGCCAAGUGCACAAGAUCGGCAGUCUUAUUAAGGAUAAAUUGAUCAAGGAACAGCUGCAAAUGUUCGACAAAACAAUUUUUGGUCCAUUGCUGAAUGUCAACAUAGUCUUUAACGGCCAGUUUAUCCAUCAUUUCUUGCUGAGGCAGAUACCUGAAGACGGUAACGCAGAUGGAAUCUAUUUUUCAGUUUUGAGGAAGAACGUCCGUUUCACCCAAAAGGAAUUCAACAUCAUAACUGGAUUGUGGCCACCAAACACAACAUUGGAGAAAGAUUACGAUAACAAGCGCCUACAAAGCCUUCUAUUUGGAUCAAAAAAUAAGAAACUAAUAACAUGCUUGGAAAUUGAGGAAGUUUUCAAGAAUUUUGAGUUUACAAAUGAUGACGAUGUUGUGAAGGUCGCCUUGGCUGUCUUUAUAGAAACUGUGAUGGUUGGGAAGGAUAAGAAAACACAGUUUGACAUGGAUAUUUUGGGAAGAGUUGAUAAUGAAGAAGCAUUUAAAAGCUUCGAUUGGUCAACUUUCUUCUACAUUCGUCUGCUUAAUAGUUUAAAGACAUGUCUACAAGGGAAAAAAGAAGCAUAUGAGCUAAAGAAGACAACAAUCAGAAAGUCUGUAGGAUGGAUGAUACAAUCAGAAAGCAAUCAUUGGAGCUAUCUGAAAUGAAGCAGAUGCUCGAGAGUUUGGUGCAGAAUCAAAAUGAAAAUCAAGGGAAUAUACUGAACAUAUAUGAUGAUCAGAAUAGAGAAGAUAUGAUCACCAGUGACCAAGCAUAUGUUGAAGAACAACAUACCGAAGAACAAUAUACUGAACAUCAAGAGGAACCCUAAAGAAAUAUCAAGAGAAAUCUGGUAGUGAUAUAAGCAUAUACGACAGAGAUGCAGACUUGCUAAUGACUAUAAGAGAUAUAUCGGAUAAUCUAAAUGCUCAAAGUCAGAAGGAAAAGACCUGCAAGAAAUGAUUACUACCCUUCCACUUGUGAGCUAACCUCUUACACUUUGUGAAAUGGCUCCAUUCGAUCAAACUGUACAAAUUCAUGAAGUGCCACCAUCAAUUUCAAUUGUAAAUGAAGAAUCUCAACUGGAAACAACAAAACAACAGGUUGAGAUUCAAAAAAAUGAUGAAGCAGUUACUUUGGUUGAAAAAGAACCAAUAACGGUGCCUGAUAAAGACUACAAAUUUGUUGUUUUGUUGAAAAAGAACCAGAAAGAAAGAUCAUAUCAGAAUCUACAAUACCUGUCCCAAAUGUCGAAAUCAGAGAUGUAUAUAGAUAUAAUUCCAUGUGGCAAGUGGAUUCAAAAUUAUGGAAGACAUACUUAAAAUGGAAAAGAUCAAGAAAAACAACUCAUGAAGAAAGGAAAGUUGUCUCUACAACAAGAAAACCAUGGAUUUGCUAUUAUCCCACUUACAGGAGAAAAUGUUGCAUCUCAAACAACUUUGCAAGCGUACUUUUGAAAUAUUAGAUUCCGCGUUUAUAACUGGAAUCAAUAAACCAGACUGCAUUGUUUGGCAACAUAUUUUUGAUACUCAUCUGGUGACACUAGGCAAUAAAAAAGCUGAAUGGACAGACACAACAAGACACUUAAAUAUAUGGGUAGAAAAAAAUUUGGAAUACUAUUUCAACACAGCUGUUGGUGAUUUCAAAGAAAAACCAGGGUGGAGAGAUGUCAACUACGUGAUUGGUUGCAUCAAUAUAAAAGAACACUAGUUAGCUAUUGCAGCUGAUAUGAGAAAAUGCAAGAUCUACGUGUUCGACUCAAUGCCAAAUUAUGUUGAGUAGAAACUUGUUGAUCAAGCUCUUCAAACGUCUGCACGAUGCAUCGCCUCACUCGCAAUUGAAAUUGGAGUGAACCUCCAUUCAGAACGAUUCAAAUAUAGCCCUUGGCCAGUACGCAGAUCAAAGACCACAUUACAGAAAAGGCGUUCACUGGAUUAUGGCAUUUUCAGUUCUAAAUUUAUUGAAUGCCUUGUAACUGAAGCUGACCAUGGUUGUCUAACUGUGUCAAACAUUAAACUAUUUAGACAACAGUAUGUAUUGGAA
Cucumis melo (muskmelon) is the source of this 2121-nucleotide long non-coding RNA. RefSeq lists it as uncharacterized. Lineage: Eukaryota; Viridiplantae; Streptophyta; Magnoliopsida; Cucurbitales; Cucurbitaceae. The transcript is spliced from 6 exons. The record is from RefSeq and is a predicted model, not a curated record.